AGUGAACGCUGGCGGUAGGCCUAACACAUGCAAGUCGAACGGCAGCACAGUAAGAGCUUGCUCUUACGGGUGGCGAGUGGCGGACGGGUGAGGAAUACAUCGGAAUCUACAUUUUCGUGGGGGAUAACGUAGGGAAACUUACGCUAAUACCGCAUACGACCUACGGGUGAAAGCAGGGGAUCUUCGGACCUUGCGCGAUUGAAUGAGCCGAUGUCGGAUUAGCUAGUUGGCGGGGUAAAGGCCCACCAAGGCGACGAUCCAUAGCUGGUCUGAGAGGAUGAUCAGCCACACUGGAACUGAGACACGGUCCAGACUCCUACGGGAGGCAGCAGUGGGGAAUAUUGGACAAAGGGCGCAAGCCUGAUCCAGCCAUACCGCGUGGGUGAAGAAGGCCUUCGGGUUGUAAAGCCCUUUUGUUGGGAAAGAAAAGCAGCAGGUUAAUACCCCGCUGUUCUGACGGUACCCAAAGAAUAAGCACCGGCUAACUUCGUG
This 492-nucleotide ribosomal RNA is filed under the name uncultured bacterium. RNAcentral's name for it is "partial 16S ribosomal RNA". It matches the Rfam family "Bacterial small subunit ribosomal RNA", at positions 29 to 507 of the family's 1533-position model. The record is from RNAcentral.